Molecule: long non-coding RNA, 1233 nt
Filed under: Callithrix jacchus (white-tufted-ear marmoset)
Lineage: Eukaryota; Metazoa; Chordata; Mammalia; Primates; Cebidae
Description: lncRNA (ENSCJAG00000067377.2)
Source: RNAcentral
ACCAGCUCCUUCACAUUCUUUUAGAUGAUUCUAAUUAUGAGGAAAAAUUUUCUUUUUAUUGAAUUAGAAACUACUUCCCUAGGGUACUUAGAAAACAAGCUUACCUCUCUUCCAAGAAGCAGCCUGUGGCAAUUUAAAAAUAUGUCCAUAAAUUCCUUAAUACUCCUCCUUUCAGGAGGUAGAGCCUAAUUUCCCUCCCUUUGAGGGUGAGCUCAGCUCAGUGACUCGCUUGUAAUGACUAGAAUAAUACAGAAGUUAUGAUGUGUGACUUCAGAGACCGAGUCAUGAAAGGCACUGUGACUUCUGCCUUGCUCUCUAAGAUAGCUCACUCUGGGAAUGUUAGCUGCCAUGUCAUAAGGAUACUCAUGCAACUCUGUGUAGAGACCCAUGUAACAGGAACUGAAGCCUCUUGCCAUGUGAUGAGCCAUCUUACAAGUGAAUCCUCCAGCCUCAGUCAAGCCUCAAGAUGCCUGCAGCCACACAAAGAUCCUGAGCUAGAGCCACCCAGUCAAGGCACUGAUACCAGUGGAUCAUCUGGCACAGUUCUGACCAAUGAGAUAAGAGAAGAAAGUUGAUGGGUAGAGCCUCAAUAGAGCCUCAAGGAAAGCCCCUCAGAAGGGGGAGGGAAGCUGGAGACAGCUGGUACAUGCAAUUAUGCCCUUGUCCUUUAUCUUCCUUCUGCCUGGAACAUGGACACUUAGGCUGGUGAUAGAGGAGCCAUCUUGGGACCAUGAAGUGACAAUGAUGGAAAGGCCAAGAGACUCUCAGAGACCUCAGUCCUGACAUCCUUGAGCAGUUAAACCAAUACCUAACCUGGGACUUCUCAUACAAUGAGAAAAAUAAGCUUCUAAAUUUAUUAAGCUUCUUUUUUGAGAUUUCAAUUACUAAUAGCUAAAUGUGCUUCAUUUGUCCUAGAAUUCGGACCAGGAUCAACCCAACUGCUCUUUAAUUUGGAACACUCUGUCUUCCUCUAUGAUAGAGAAAUCAAGAUGCCAUUUGACUAUUUUCUGAUUUCAGCACCACUAAAUUCCCUCACAGUUUCAUUGUCUACAUGCCAAUAAUCUUGUUGGCAACUUAUCUUCAUGACCAGGUAGGUAAUUUAUUUAGUCCAGGAGAUGUGGCCUCUGCCAGAAGGUUGGAACUUUGACCUACUCAGUUCUCCCCUAUUUCUUGUCUAUAGUUGUCAAGAAUAAUGGUAGAAAGUGCUGGGAAUGCCACUUCCUGAGAUGGGGA